GGAGAAGCCCUCUCCCGUGAGUGCUGCUCACCCUAUCAGGAGCUCCAAGGCGCUUUAAGGAAACUCCUUUUGUCUCUAGAGGAUGAAACAGAUUCAUUUACAAAGCAGUUUUCCUGAACUUAGUUAAUGACCCUGAUGGCUGCGUGCUCUCUUGAGGGGCCAGAGAGGCAAAGCUGAGAUCAAGGGCACUUCACUGUGCUUCUCUUUUCAACGGGGUCCCAUUCUGGGCUCCCGACCACAGCGGCUCAAAUCUUAAUUUGACAUCACUGCAGAUGAAACCCAAACCGAAGCUCUCGUACUGUUCCCGCGCUGAGCCCUCCCUCCCCAUCUCACUGAGGCGCGCACGCGGCCUGCCCUUCCCCUGGGGCCGGGACCUGGGGGGUUGGCUAGGGGCGGCCUUCCCUGCACUGUCGACCGAAACCACAAGGAUGUUUGAGCACGUUUUUAGAUCCCCUCCCCCAUCGGCAACUCCACCGCGCGAACUCCCAGAGGCCCGAGAGCCUCCCGCGUUGAGGAAAACGCUAUGUCCGUCUCAGAUUAGCCUCCUUUGCCAAGGAAACUCGCCAAGAAUCCCUGCGCAACCUGCGCUCUCGCUGUAGAGCAUACUAGGUGGUCUUUCUUUCUUUCUUUUUAGAAUCUUCUUGCUUUUCCCUGUAAGGCAGACCUUAAGGCCUUAAGGAUUGGAACUACAAUAACUGAUGUUUAACAGCAAGUCAGUGCCUAAGAGUUUGGUCUGUGGCCUUAAACGUGCCUUACUUAUUCGAACCAGAAGAGCAAAACAAACUUCCAAUUUAAGGCUUCUUUCCCUUACCCCCAGGCUUUUUGCAGGACCUUCCAGUUCACCUGGCUGGAGGAGGACCGUGAGCCUGGACAGUGGCACAAACCCCGUGCCCGCGCUCAUGCAGGCGCACCCUCAUACGCACACACUUGAACGCUUAGCAAGUCUUUUCCAAGGCUGUUCCCUCUUUCCGGGGAAAUAAAGCCUAGAUUGGAACCUUCUGCCCAGCUUCCUCAUUUGGCCGUCUGGUCUGCAUUAGUGUUUUUAUAAGGGACUCAAACAAAUCGAAUACAAGGUCACCAAAUAAUUAACAGUUGUGAAUUCCCUCCGUCCCCAUUAAAAUACUUCCCUGCUUAUAUUUCAUUUUCGGUUUGCCAACGACAACAGGGUACCGGCAAAAGCACUGCUGAGUUGAUUACACCACUCUGCGGCUCAGGUCCACCCAGAAACCCGCUGUUUUGCAUAACAUGAGGUACCAGAUGAACUUCAAUCGCGAGGGGACUAUGCAACUCUCUGAAUGCCCUCCCCGCAGCCGGGCUAUUCCCAGAAUGGUCCUGCUCUGCCCUUUGGUAAUCACGACCCAGAAGGUGAAUGGAGAAGCCAACAAACAAUCAGUGGCAAACUGUCCUGAGAGUUAUUUCUAGGGCAUCAAGUUCUUCAAGGAUGUUCCCAUCUCGUUUUGGUUUUUAUCUGUU
This 1473-nucleotide long non-coding RNA is filed under the name Homo sapiens (human). Its description in RNAcentral is "HSALNT0140703". Lineage: Eukaryota; Metazoa; Chordata; Mammalia; Primates; Hominidae. The record is from RNAcentral.